GUUAACCGUUUGGUUUGAAUUCAUGUGAGAUACUUCAAAUUUUUAAUUAAAAUAUUUUACUCAUGUUAUUUUUCUGUUUUAAACUUGAAAAAUGUAUUCCCCUUGAAUUGUCUAGGAUUAAAUAACCAACAGACACGGAGGCUGUCUUGGAAGAUAUAUUUUUUAUAUUACAAUUGUUAACAGGUAUAAUUGUUUAUGUUUAUAUAUAUAUGAACCCCCCGUUUGAAUUAUGAAAUUCAAAUGAAAAUUUCUCAAUGCAUAUUACAUUUUAAAAUGAAAUAUUAAUUAAAAUGAGUAGACAUAAAAAGCGUCAAUUUUAUUAUAUUACAUACGACAUAAAAAUACAAAUGUAAAAAAAAACGUUUUUGACUUAACAAAAAAUAAGUACUUAUAAAAAUUGACCCAUUUUUUUACAGUACAAAGUUAGGAACGGUUUUAAAGAAUACAAGUUCUUUGACCGAAAUAUCCUCCGGAAUGUUAAUCCGGUAACACCAUGUGGUGAACUACAUCCGGUCGUACUGCUCGUACAUCCGUUUUUCAUAAAGGGAUUUCCUCGCACCGUUAAUUUGUUCAUUUGUCCCGCUCCCUGCUCUCUAACCAUGCGGCUGCUGUUCCUGGCCGUCAUGGCGGCUCUCUCCUUCGGCCCCGCCGUGGUCAGCGGAGCUGACAAGAAGAAGCUGCAGAUCGGGAUCAAGAAGCGAGUGGACAACUGUCCCAUCAAGUCCCGCAAGGGCGACGUGCUGAACAUGCACUACACCGGCAGGCUGGAGGACGGGACGGAGUUCGACAGCAGCAUUCCCCGCGGCCAGCCGUUCACCUUCACCCUGGGAACCGGCCAGGUGAUCAAGGGCUGGGACCAGGGCCUGCUUGGCAUGUGCGAGGGCGAGAAGAGGAAGCUGGUCAUCCCGGCGGAGCUAGGCUACGGAGACCGCGGAGCUCCGCCGAAGAUCCCCGGAGGAGCGACGCUGAUCUUCGAGGUGGAGCUGCUGAGCAUCGAAAGGAGGUCGGACCUUUGACGGAGAGAUAAAGGACGCCUUGAAAGAAAUUUAUAAUGGGAAGAAAAUCCAGAAAUAUAACUCAAGAUCCAAGAAUUGCUGCUGCAUUAAAUGGAGACCAUCUGACUUAAGAAGAAUGAUCAAGAAGAUUAAAAUGAAAACCAGGGAAAUGAAUCUAAACCCCAGCAGAGCCUCUGUUCUGCUUUUAGUAGGACUCAAAUGAUGACAUCAUGUAAUAAACAAUGAGAUUAGGCAGUAAAGUCCAGCUUUUGUUCAGGAUGACAUCACACCACUUCAUCUGUUUGUUUUUGCUUCAUGAAAAUUUGUUUACUUCCAUUUCUACAUUCCUCUUUCACAAAUGAUUGACAGUAAAUCAGGUAAAACUGAGGCAGGGGCCAAGUGAUUAUGAGUAAUUUUUGUUUUGUAAUUACAAUAAAUUGUUUCCCUAACUUUUUCUUUUUAA
Molecule: RNA transcript, 1458 nt
Organism: Poeciliopsis prolifica (blackstripe livebearer)
Lineage: Eukaryota; Metazoa; Chordata; Actinopteri; Cyprinodontiformes; Poeciliidae
Gene: fkbp2
Gene name: FKBP prolyl isomerase 2
Exons: 3
Source: RefSeq, a predicted model, not a curated record